AGCUGUACCCUAAAGAUUGCGCGGGUAUUAGGAAACAAUCAAGAUCUGUGAGUGUUUUCCAUAAAAUUAAAGUAUGGGAAUACACGGAUUAUCGAAAUUGAUUGCUGAUCAUGCUCCUGGUGCAGUGAAGGAAAAUGAAAUCAAGAACUUUUUUGGCAGAAAAGUGGCCAUUGAUGCCUCUAUGUCAAUUUAUCAAUUUUUAAUUGCUGUAAGACAAGAAGGCAAUGUUCUCACAAAUGCAGAUGGUGAAACUACAAGCCACCUUAUGGGAAUGUUUUAUCGAACUAUUCGUAUGGUUGAAAAUGGUAUAAAACCUGUUUACGUUUUCGAUGGAAAACCGCCAGAUAUGAAAUCAGGCGAACUAUCAAAGAGGAGCGAAAGACGGGAGGAAGCUAAAAAGGCAUUAGAUAAAGCAGUUGAAACAGGAGAUCAAGAGAAUGUUGAAAAGUUUGGAAAAAGAUUAGUUAAAGUAACGUCACAGCAUAAUGAUGAAUGCAAAAAAUUAUUAACUUUGAUGGGAAUCCCUUAUGUCAAUGCUCCUUGCGAAGCUGAAGCUCAAUGUGCAGCCUUAGUAAAAUCUGGAAAGGUAUACGCUACGGGAACAGAAGAUAUGGAUGCACUUACUUUCGGAUCAAAUGUUGUAUUACGUCAUUUGACAUUUAGCGAAGCAAGAAAAGUACCUAUAAAAGAAUACAAUUUGGAUGUUCUACUUGAUGGAUUGGGGCUUUCCCAAGACGAAUUUAUCGAUCUUUGCAUUUUACUUGGAUGCGAUUAUUGCGAUUCAAUAAGAGGAGUUGGACCCAAAAGAGCUAUAGAACUGAUAAAGCAGCACAGGAAUAUUGAAACUAUUUUAAAACACCUUGACUCAAAGAAAUAUACAAUACCGGAAGAUUGGAUGUUUAAAGAGGCUCGAAAACUAUUUCAAACUCCGGAAGUUACACAUGGCGAUGAUUUAGAGGUAAGCAAAAAAAACGAAAAACUGGGAAUAAUAUUUCAAAUAAGAGUUUUAAAAGAAUCUUGUGCUAACGCCAUCUAAAGUAUGAUUUUAUCUCUAUCCUCUUACUUUUUGCACUCAGCUAGCCGAUAGCGUUAUUCGUUAAGAGUUGAUUCAAUCAAGGUUAUUUAAUAAAGUAAACUAAAAUUCACAAUAAUUCGCAUUUAUCGACAUAGAUAAAUCUUCUCUUAUAGAAGACUAAGUUUAUAAUAAUUUUAUAGGCUACGAAAAUAUGAAUAUAAAGAUUUUCGUAUUAAAGGAAGACAACUCUUGUUCUUAUUUUUGGGUACGACUUAUAAAUUGUAGCUUGAAGGCUUUGAUGUUGAUAUUUUAAUACUUUUAUAAAGCACUCUUAUAAUUACAGUUGAAAUGGACCGACCCUGAUGAAGAUAGUCUUGUAAAAUUUAUGGUUGAAGAAAAGGCUUUUAACGAGGAGAGAAUACGAAAUGGAGCUAAGAAACUAUCGAAAGCACGACACGGUUCUACCCAGGGUAGACUAGAUAGUUUUUUUAAAGUGACAUCCGUUUCGUCAACGAAAAGAAAAGAUCCGGAGCAAAAAGGAAACGAUAAGAAGAAAAUGAAGGGUAGAGGAGGCUUCAAAAGAGCUAAAUAGAGCUUUAGCUGUUUUACCAGUAUAUCCUGUGUAGUUAUUAAGAAAAAGUUUUAUGUUCUUAUCCUUAUGAUUAUCAAUAUUAUUACGUUUAAAAUAUAUUGACAAAGUCUAAAUAUAAAUAUGUAAAGUUAUAUUUUUAAAGGGUUAUGUUUUUUAGUGUUUUUUUCCUACCUUAUUUAUCUAUUUAUACAAG
RNAcentral lists this unclassified non-coding RNA (1800 nucleotides) under Dimorphilus gyrociliatus. RNAcentral's name for it is "flap endonuclease 1". Lineage: Eukaryota; Metazoa; Annelida; Polychaeta; Dinophilidae. The record is from RNAcentral.